RNAcentral lists this unclassified non-coding RNA (253 nucleotides) under uncultured cyanobacterium. Its description in RNAcentral is "contains 16S-23S intergenic spacer region". It matches the Rfam family "Bacterial small subunit ribosomal RNA", at positions 524 to 776 of the family's 1533-position model. The record is from RNAcentral. Lineage: Bacteria; Bacillati; Cyanobacteriota.
GACGGAGGGUGCAAGCGUUGUUCGGAAUUACUGGGCGUAAAGCGUACGUAGGCGGCGGGUUAAGUCGAAUGUUAAAGCCGGAGGCUCAACCUCCGAGAUGCAUUCGAUACUGGCUCGCUAGAGGGUGAUAGAGGAAAGCGGAAUUCCCAGUGUAGCGGUGAAAUGCGUAGAUAUUGGGAGGAACAUCAGUAGCGAAGGCGGCUUUCUGGGUCACACCUGACGCUGAGGUACGAAAGCGUGGGGAGCAAACGGG